AAAUGUUCAAUAGGGGCAAUCUGAGAUCACAUGUUUGGUUUGAUUCCUCGAAUCUCGCGCAUAGUGAAAGCGUGUAUCUCAACAUGUGUUCUCAGGUCGCCCCUGUCGAAUUAUU
Non-coding RNA from Capsicum annuum, 115 nucleotides. The record is from Rfam. NCBI's taxonomy places the organism in Eukaryota, Viridiplantae, Streptophyta, Magnoliopsida, Solanales, Solanaceae.